AAAUUUCUGGAGCUGUAUCAAGCAGAAAACUGCCUGUGGAAUCCCAAAAAUAAAUACCACAAAAAUAAAAAUGUUAUUAAUGAUUCAUGGAAACGUAUUGCUGAUACGAUGGGCAUUCCAGUGCAUGAGUUAAAAAAGAAAAAAGAUAAUCUUCUUAGUACAUUUAGAACGAAUUUAAAAAAAAGAAAUGCAUCCAUUCGGUCAGGGGCGGGAACAGAGGAUGUGUAUCAGCCCAUAUGGAUAUUUUACGAUGUGAUGGCUGCGUUUUUAACAGAUGUUUACGAAUCCACAAGUAUUCUAAAUACAGAGGAAAAAACACAACCUGAUUUGUAUGAAGAGGAUAGCGCUUCUAACGUGCAGGUUAGUGAUAAUAUUCCGGAUGCUAAAAACGAAGACCAUAAUGAUGCCGACAU
RNA transcript from Spodoptera litura, 413 nucleotides. RefSeq lists it as uncharacterized. Lineage: Eukaryota; Metazoa; Arthropoda; Insecta; Lepidoptera; Noctuidae. The record is from RefSeq and is a predicted model, not a curated record.